CAACCGCAAAAGAAGCAGAGGGGGCUUAGUGGUGGGGUGACUGCGUACCUUUUGUAUAAUGGGUCAGCGACUUAUAUUCUGUAGCAAGGUUAACCGAAUAGGGGAGCCGGAGGGAAACCGAGUCUUAACCGGGCGUUAAGUUGCAGGGUAUAGACCCGAAACCCGGUGAUCUAGCCAUGGGCAGGUUGAAGGUUGGGUAACACUAACUGGAGGACCGAACCGACUAAUGUUGAAAAAUUAGCGGAUGACCUGUGGCUGGGGGUGAAAGGCCAAUCAAACCGGGAGAUAGCUGGUUCUCCCCGAAAGCUAUUUAGGUAGCGCCUCGUGAAUUCAUCUCCGGGGGUAGAGCACUGUUUCGGCUAGGGGGCCAUCCCGGCUUACCAACCCGAUGCAAACUGCGAAUACCGGAGAAUGUUAUCACGGGAGACACACGGCGGGUGCUAACGUCCGUCGUGAAGAGGGAAACAACCCAGACCGCCAGCUAAGGUCCCAAAGUCAUGGUUAAGUGGGAAACGAUGUGGGAAGGCCCAGACAGCCAGGAUGUUGGCUUAGAAGCAGCCAUCAUUUAAAGAAAGCGUAAUAGCUCACUGGUCGAGUCGGCCUGCGCGGAAGAUGUAACGGGGCUAAACCAUGCACCGAAGCUGCGGCAGCGACGCUGAUGCGUUGUUGGGUAGGGGAGCGUUCUGUAAGCCUGCGAAGGUGGCCUGUGAGGGUUGCUGGAGGUAUCAGAAGUGCGAAUGCUGACAUAAGUAACGAUAAAGCGGGUGAAAAGCCCGCUCGCCGGAAGACCAAGGGUUCCUGUCCAACGUUAAUCGGGGCAGGGUGAGUCGACCCCUAAGGCGAGGCCGAAAGGCGUAGUCGAUGGGAAACGGGUUAAUAUUCCCGUACUUGGUGUUACUGCGAAGGGGGGACGGAGAAGGCUAUGUUGGCCGGGCGACGGUUGUCCCGGUUUAAGCGUGUAGGUGUGUGUUCCAGGUAAAUCCGGUUCACUUUAACACUGAGGCGUGAUGACGAGGCACUACGGUGCUGAAGCAACAAAUGCCCUGCUUCCAGGAAAAGCCUCUAAGCAUCAGGUAACAUCAAAUCGUACCCCAAACCGACACAGGUGGUCAGGUAGAGAAUACCAAGGCGCUUGAGAGAACUCGGGUGAAGGAACUAGGCAAAAUGGUGCCGUAACUUCGGGAGAAGGCACGCUGACACGUAGGUGAAGUGAUUUACUCAUGGAGCUGAAGUCAGUCGAAGAUACCAGCUGGCUGCAACUGUUUAUUAAAAACACAGCACUGUGCAAACACGAAAGUGGACGUAUACGGUGUGACGCCUGCCCGGUGCCGGAAGGUUAAUUGAUGGGGUCAGCGCAAGCGAAGCUCCUGAUCGAAGCCCCGGUAAACGGCGGCCGUAACUAUAACGGUCCUAAGGUAGCGAAAUUCCUUGUCGGGUAAGUUCCGACCUGCACGAAUGGCGUAAUGAUGGCCAGGCUGUCUCCACCCGAGACUCAGUGAAAUUGAACUCGCUGUGAAGAUGCAGUGUACCCGCGGCAAGACGGAAAGACCCCGUGAACCUUUACUAUAGCUUGACACUGAACAUUGAGCCUUGAUGUGUAGGAUAGGUGGGAGGCUUUGAAGUGUGGACGCCAGUCUGCAUGGAGCCGACCUUGAAAUACCACCCUUUAAUGUUUGAUGUUCUAACGUGGACCCGUGAUCCGGGUUGCGGACAGUGUCUGGUGGGUAGUUUGACUGGGGCGGUCUCCUCCUAAAGAGUAACGGAGGAGCACGAAGGUUGGCUAAUCCUGGUCGGACAUCAGGAGGUUAGUGCAAUGGCAUAAGCCAGCUUGACUGCGAGCGUGACGGCGCGAGCAGGUGCGAAAGCAGGUCAUAGUGAUCCGGUGGUUCUGAAUGGAAGGGCCAUCGCUCAACGGAUAAAAGGUACUCCGGGGAUAACAGGCUGAUACCGCCCAAGAGUUCAUAUCGACGGCGGUGUUUGGCACCUCGAUGUCGGCUCAUCACAUCCUGGGGCUGAAGUAGGUCCCAAGGGUAUGGCUGUUCGCCAUUUAAAGUGGUACGCGAGCUGGGUUUAGAACGUCGUGAGACAGUUCGGUCCCUAUCUGCCGUGGGCGCUGGAGAACUGAGGGGGGCUGCUCCUAGUACGAGAGGACCGGAGUGGACGCAUCACUGGUGUUCGGGUUGUCAUGCCAAUGGCACUGCCCGGUAGCUAAAUGCGGAAGAGAUAAGUGCUGAAAGCAUCUAAGCACGAAACUUGCCCCGA
Molecule: ribosomal RNA, 2262 nt
Filed under: Salmonella enterica subsp. enterica serovar Chester
Lineage: Bacteria; Pseudomonadati; Pseudomonadota; Gammaproteobacteria; Enterobacterales; Enterobacteriaceae
Description: partial 23S ribosomal RNA
Rfam family: Bacterial large subunit ribosomal RNA
Source: RNAcentral